GGGGCCAUGGCGGAGACUAAACAUGCAGUCGAGCGGUAACAGAUCCAGCUUGCUGCCUGCUGACGAGCGGCGGACGGGUGAGUAAUGCAUAGGAAUCUGCCCGAUAGUGGGGGAUAACCUGGGGAAACCCAGGCUAAUACCGCAUACGUCCUACGGGAGAAAGGGGGCUUCGGCUCCCGCUAUUGGAUGAGCCUAUGUCGGAUUAGCUAGUUGGUGAGGUAAUGGCUUACCAAGGCCACGAUCCGUAGCUGGUCUGAGAGGAUGAUCAGCCACAUCGGGACUGAGACACGGCCCGAACUCCUACGGGAGGCAGCAGUGGGGAAUAUUGGACAAUGGGGGGAACCCUGAUCCAGCCAUGCCGCGUGUGUGAAGAAGGCCCUCGGGUUGUAAAGCACUUUCAGCGAGGAAGAACGCCUAUCGGUUAAUACCCGGUAGGAAAGACAUCACUCGCAGAAGAAGCACCGGCUAACUCCGUGCCAGCAGCCGCGGUAAUACGGAGGGUGCAAGCGUUAAUCGGAAUUACUGGGCGUAAAGCGCGCGUAGGUGGCUUGAUAAGCCGGUUGUGAAAGCCCCGGGCUCAACCUGGGAACGGCAUCCGGAACUGUCAAGCUAGAGUGCAGGAGAGGAAGGUAGAAUUCCCGGUGUAGCGGUGAAAUGCGUAGAGAUCGGGAGGAAUACCAGUGGCGAAGGCGGCCUUCUGGACUGACACUGACACUGAGGUGCGAAAGCGUGGGUAGCAAACAGGAUUAGAUACCUGGUAGUCA
This 764-nucleotide ribosomal RNA is filed under the name Vreelandella titanicae. Its description in RNAcentral is "bacterial SSU rRNA". It matches the Rfam family "Bacterial small subunit ribosomal RNA", at positions 30 to 796 of the family's 1533-position model. Lineage: Bacteria; Pseudomonadati; Pseudomonadota; Gammaproteobacteria; Oceanospirillales; Halomonadaceae. The record is from RNAcentral.